This 253-nucleotide ribosomal RNA is filed under the name uncultured bacterium. Its description in RNAcentral is "partial 16S ribosomal RNA". It matches the Rfam family "Bacterial small subunit ribosomal RNA", at positions 524 to 776 of the family's 1533-position model. The record is from RNAcentral.
GACGAACCGUGCGAACGUUGUUCGGAAUCACUGGGUUUAAAGGGCGCGUAGGCGGGUCGCCAAGUCGGUGGUGAAAUCGUUCCGCUCAACGGGACAACGGCCUUCGAUACUGGCGGCCUGGAGGGAGGUAGGGGCAUGCGGAACUUCCGGUGGAGCGGUGAAAUGCGUAGAUAUCGGAAGGAACACCGAUGGCGAAAGCAGCGUGCUGGACCUUUUCUGACGCUGAGGCGCGAAAGCCAGGGGAGCAAACGGG